UGGCGUACGGGUGAGUAACACGUGGAUAAUCUACCUCUUAGUGAGGAAUAACUUUGGGAAACCGAAGCUAAUACCGCAUAAGCCUGGAAAGGGAAAGCAGCAAUGCGCUGAGAGAGGAGUCCGCGGCCGAUUAGCUAGUUGGCAGGGUAACAGCCUACCAAGGCAUUGAUCGGUAGCCGGCCUGAGAGGGCACACGGCCACACUGGCACUGAAACACGGUCCAG
RNAcentral lists this ribosomal RNA (224 nucleotides) under uncultured bacterium. Its description in RNAcentral is "partial 16S ribosomal RNA". It matches the Rfam family "Bacterial small subunit ribosomal RNA", at positions 96 to 334 of the family's 1533-position model. The record is from RNAcentral.